RNAcentral lists this long non-coding RNA (2690 nucleotides) under Lathyrus oleraceus (garden pea). RNAcentral's name for it is "Pisum sativum (pea) long non-coding RNA (PSAT_LNC019334)". Lineage: Eukaryota; Viridiplantae; Streptophyta; Magnoliopsida; Fabales; Fabaceae. The record is from RNAcentral.
AAACAAAUUCUUAAGUUGCAAAUUCUCAUUAGUAAGUGGCUCAACAAUAUUUCACAUAGCCAAAGUAUCCGCAGAAUCACCAAAUAAGAUAUCUCUUCAAGUCGCAAUAAAACAAUAGGCAUUAUUUUCUUAUAAAAAUAAUUAUUUUAAUACUUCUUAAAUAAUAAUUUCAAUAUGAAAUGCAAAAUAUUUAAAUGUUUUUACUUUAUUGCAACUUUUAUCUAUAUAAAAAUUGGUCGUUAUACAGAUUUACAUAAUAAACCAAAUCAAACUUAUCACACAAAGAGGUUGGCCUAUUGGUGAAGACCUGGGACUUGAGAGUUUGCUCCUCUUAAUGUUUCAAGUUCAACACCUGGUAGUGUCAACUUUUUGUUAUUUAUCUCCUUUGUUAUUUUUUACUUUUGUUUAAGGUCCCAAUAAAAUCUACUAUUUAUUUAUCAUCUUAUCAUUUAAAUAUUGUUCGUAAAUGUCUUUUAAAAUUGCAUUUAAAUGCUCUAUUUUUAUUCUUGUAACAAUCAUUUAAGUAUUAUUAAUAAAUACUCUAAUUCUAUAAGACAGGAGUGCAGAAGUAAUUUACUUCGACGAUGAGUAUAAUAUAUUUCACAAAAUAUAUUCAAAUGUUUGCAAUUUGUCAUAGCUCGACUUAGUAUUAUCUUAAUUAAAUAAAACAAAAAGUAGAAAUUUCUCAUAAUUUUAAUUCUUGAUGUACACUAUGAUAGACAACAUUUGAAAUUUGUUAGAAAUACUGAAAUGCAAUAUAAGGAAGUUAGUAAGAAGUUCGUUAUGAUGAUUUUAUAAUUAAUUUUUUUGAUACUCAUGAUUUUUGACUAAAAGUUAUUAUGCAUUUAUCAUUGUUGUUUUAUAAUAUUCCUACAUGAACUUACUAGAUAGAUCACAGGAUCAGAUAAUGUAAUAUUCACUUAACUAGUUGUUAUGUUUUGGUGCAAUGCUCCACUCUACGUGUAUACUUCUUGUGUUUCUCCUUCUUUUGGUGAAAGAUGUGUUUUUGCAAAACACAAUUUAAUUCUAAAGUUUGAUGGGAAAAAAGAGUGAAAUGAUUGUGUGUUUAUACCUGGGAGACAAUUAUCUUAUUUAUAGAGUGGCUAAAAUUUAAUAUGUUCCAUGCAAUUGAUAUUUCCUCUCUGGUGAUCUCUUGAAUAUCAAGUGAAAAAUUAUGUGUUGAUUUUUUUAUUAAAACCCAUUUUGAGAUAGGUUUUAUUAACUAUUUAGUUUUAAUAAAAUCCAUAGAUAUCAAAAUAGUGUGAACACGUCGUUGCUCAAAGAAGUGCGGAAAAUAAAAUUUUUGGUUUUCAGGGAUGACCUCAGAUUCAACUUAUCGCGGUGUGCCAUGUUCAUAAACUGAGGUAGACAUGUCAAAUUUCGUGGCAUUGGUGUUUGAAAUUCUUCAUGUUUUGUACUUUGAGUUGUAGAUUUUCUUAGUAAACGAUCCAUAAUAUAUUUGAGUUGGGAUACUUAGGAUCAUACAUUUAAACAAGUACCCAAACCCUUUUGAUGUUUAAUAAGUAUUCGGUUUAAAAAGUAUUUAAAAAAUUAAAAAAUUGAAUGUUUUACUAGAUGGAAUUUAUCUAAGUAGAUCUGUUGUACUAAUGUUGUACAUGUGCUUCAUAGAAUUGCAUAUAUGGCAUGAGGUUGAAGUCUAAUAUUUGGAUUACAUUAACGCAUUAUCAUUUUGACGCGCUUAUGAUCUUGGUUGUGACUCAUUUGUGGUAUGUACCGUUAGGCUAACAUGUUGAUGAGAAUGCUAGUUUAUGAGACGCUAUCACGCUCUUAUGAUCUAUUGAUCUUGGUUAAUGUUGUUUCAUGUGAAUCAUUGAAUAUGGAUCAUUCGUAGUUGUUGAUGAAAUGUUUCCAUCACAUAUUUUACUCUCUUUGUCUUCCAUUUCAAGUAAUAAAUGGUCACACACAACUCUUUCUAAUUUUGAAGUAUUCCAUAAUCUAUUCUUUCCUUUUAUCAAGAACGUUGAUUCUCCCAUUAUUCUAUAUUUGUAGGUCGUACAAAAAAAUACCUCUUUUUGGGAAUAUUAAUUAAGACAUUUAUUUGUUGAAAAUUAAAUUUGAUGUCACAAAUGGUAUCUACUUUUCUCUUGGUUGGGGACACAUAAUAAUUUUAGUAUCUUUUAUAUCUAUAAAUAAAUAUUAUAAAAUAUUUAUUUUGAUAUUUAAGAAUCAUAACAAGUUUGUAAAAGCGUCAAACUAGUUGGAGUUUUACAAUUUUGAAACAAAUUCUUAAGUUGCAAAUUCUCAUUAGUAAGUGGCUCAACAAUAUUUCACAUAGCCAAAGCAAUCGCAGAAUCAUCAAAUAAGAUAUCUCUUCAAGUCGCAAUACAACAAUAGGCAUUAUUUUCUUAUAAAAAUAAUUAUUUUAAUACUUCUUAAAUAAUAAUUUCAAUAUGAAAUGCAAAAUAUUUAAAUGUUUUUACUUUAUUGCAACUUUUAUCUAUAUAAAAAUUGGUCCUUAUACAGAUUUACAUAAUAAACCAAAUCAAACUUAUCACACAAAGAGGUUGGCCUAUUGGUGAAGACCUGGGACUUGAGAGUUUGCUCCUCUUAAUGUUUGAAGUUCAACACCUGGUAGUGUAAACUUUUUGUUAUUUAUCUCCUUUGUUAUUUUUUACUUUUGUUUAAGGUCCCAAUAAAAUCUACUAUUUAUUUAUCAUCUUAUCAUUUAA